This 1552-nucleotide ribosomal RNA is filed under the name Pectobacterium parmentieri. Its description in RNAcentral is "bacterial SSU rRNA". It matches the Rfam family "Bacterial small subunit ribosomal RNA". Lineage: Bacteria; Pseudomonadati; Pseudomonadota; Gammaproteobacteria; Enterobacterales; Pectobacteriaceae. The record is from RNAcentral.
AAAUUGAAGAGUUUGAUCAUGGCUCAGAUUGAACGCUGGCGGCAGGCCUAACACAUGCAAGUCGAGCGGUAGCACAGAAGAGCUUGCUCUUCGGGUGACGAGCGGCGGACGGGUGAGUAAUGUCUGGGAAACUGCCUGAUGGAGGGGGAUAACUACUGGAAACGGUAGCUAAUACCGCAUAACGUCUUCGGACCAAAGAGGGGGACCUUCGGGCCUCUUGCCAUCGGAUGUGCCCAGAUGGGAUUAGCUAGUAGGUGAGGUAAUGGCUCACCUAGGCGACGAUCCCUAGCUGGUCUGAGAGGAUGACCAGCCACACUGGAACUGAGACACGGUCCAGACUCCUACGGGAGGCAGCAGUGGGGAAUAUUGCACAAUGGGCGCAAGCCUGAUGCAGCCAUGCCGCGUGUGUGAAGAAGGCCUUCGGGUUGUAAAGCACUUUCAGCGGGGAGGAAGGCGAUAAGGUUAAUAACCUUGUCGAUUGACGUUACCCGCAGAAGAAGCACCGGCUAACUCCGUGCCAGCAGCCGCGGUAAUACGGAGGGUGCAAGCGUUAAUCGGAAUGACUGGGCGUAAAGCGCACGCAGGCGGUCUGUUAAGUUGGAUGUGAAAUCCCCGGGCUUAACCUGGGAACUGCAUUCAAAACUGACAGGCUAGAGUCUUGUAGAGGGGGGUAGAAUUCCAGGUGUAGCGGUGAAAUGCGUAGAGAUCUGGAGGAAUACCGGUGGCGAAGGCGGCCCCCUGGACAAAGACUGACGCUCAGGUGCGAAAGCGUGGGGAGCAAACAGGAUUAGAUACCCUGGUAGUCCACGCUGUAAACGAUGUCGACUUGGAGGUUGUGCCCUUGAGGCGUGGCUUCCGGAGCUAACGCGUUAAGUCGACCGCCUGGGGAGUACGGCCGCAAGGUUAAAACUCAAAUGAAUUGACGGGGGCCCGCACAAGCGGUGGAGCAUGUGGUUUAAUUCGAUGCAACGCGAAGAACCUUACCUACUCUUGACAUCCACAGAAUUUGGUAGAGAUACCUUAGUGCCUUCGGGAACUGUGAGACAGGUGCUGCAUGGCUGUCGUCAGCUCGUGUUGUGAAAUGUUGGGUUAAGUCCCGCAACGAGCGCAACCCUUAUCCUUUGUUGCCAGCACGUAAUGGUGGGAACUCAAAGGAGACUGCCGGUGAUAAACCGGAGGAAGGUGGGGAUGACGUCAAGUCAUCAUGGCCCUUACGAGUAGGGCUACACACGUGCUACAAUGGCGUAUACAAAGAGAAGCGAACUCGCGAGAGCAAGCGGACCUCACAAAGUACGUCGUAGUCCGGAUUGGAGUCUGCAACUCGACUCCAUGAAGUCGGAAUCGCUAGUAAUCGUAGAUCAGAAUGCUACGGUGAAUACGUUCCCGGGCCUUGUACACACCGCCCGUCACACCAUGGGAGUGGGUUGCAAAAGAAGUAGGUAGCUUAACCUUCGGGAGGGCGCUUACCACUUUGUGAUUCAUGACUGGGGUGAAGUCGUAACAAGGUAACCGUAGGGGAACCUGCGGUUGGAUCACCUCCUUACCAAAAAGA